GAUGAACGCUGGCGGCGUGCCUAAUACAUGCAAGUCGAGCGAACGGACGAGAAGCUUGCUUCUCUGAUGUUAGCGGCGGACGGGUGAGUAACACGUGGAUAACCUACCUAUAAGACUGGGAUAACUUCGGGAAACCGGAGCUAAUACCGGAUAAUAUUUUGAACCGCAUGGUUCAAAAGUGAAAGACGGUCUUGCUGUCACUUAUAGAUGGAUCCGCGCUGCAUUAGCUAGUUGGUAAGGUAACGGCUACCAAGGCAACGAUGCAUAGCCGACCUGAGAGGGUGAACGGCCACACUGGAACUGAGACACGGUCCAGACUCCUACGGGAGGCAGCAGUAGGGAAUCUUCCGCAAUGGGCGAAAGCCUGACGGAGCAACGCCGCGUUAGUGAUGAAGGUCUUCGGAUCGUAAAACUCUGUUAUUAGGGAAGAACAGUUGUGUAAGUAACUGUGCACAUCUUGACGGUACCUAAUCAGAAAGCCACGGCUAACUACGUG
This 496-nucleotide ribosomal RNA is filed under the name uncultured bacterium. RNAcentral's name for it is "partial 16S ribosomal RNA". It matches the Rfam family "Bacterial small subunit ribosomal RNA", at positions 28 to 507 of the family's 1533-position model. The record is from RNAcentral.